AUUGAACGCUGGCGGCAGGCCUAACACAUGCAAGUCGGACGGUAGCACAGAGGAGCUUGCUCCUCGGGUGACGAGUGGCGGACGGGUGAGUAAUGUCUGGGGAUCUGCCCGAUAGAGGGGGAUAACCACUGGAAACGGUGGCUAAUACCGCAUAACGUCGCAAGACCAAAGAGGGGGACCUUCGGGCCUCUCACUAUCGGAUGAACCCAGAUGGGAUUAGCUAGUAGGCGGGGUAACGGCCCACCUAGGCGACGAUCCCUAGCUGGUCUGAGAGGAUGACCAGCCACACUGGAACUGAGACACGAUCCAGACUCCUACGGGAGGCAGCAGUGGGGAAUACUGCACAAUGGGCGCAAGCCUGAUGCAGCCAUGCCGCGUGUAUGAAGAAGGCCUUCGGGUUGUAAAGUACUUUCAGCGGGGAGGAAGGCGAUGUGGUUAAUAACCGCGUCGAUUGACGUUACCCGCAGAAGAAGCACCGGCUAACUCCGUGCCAGCCGCCGCAGUAA
RNAcentral lists this ribosomal RNA (506 nucleotides) under uncultured bacterium. RNAcentral describes it as "partial 16S ribosomal RNA". It matches the Rfam family "Bacterial small subunit ribosomal RNA", at positions 29 to 523 of the family's 1533-position model. The record is from RNAcentral.